This 253-nucleotide ribosomal RNA is filed under the name uncultured bacterium. RNAcentral describes it as "partial 16S ribosomal RNA". It matches the Rfam family "Bacterial small subunit ribosomal RNA", at positions 524 to 776 of the family's 1533-position model. The record is from RNAcentral.
UACGUAGGGGGCUAGCGUUGUCCGGAAUCAUUGGGCGUAAAGAGCGUGUAGGCGGUCCGGUAAGUCCACUGUGAAAGUCGGGGGCUCAACCCUCGAAUGCCGGUGGAUACUGUCGGGCUAGAGUGCGGAAGAGGCGAGUGGAAUUCCUGGUGUAGCGGUGAAAUGCGCAGAUAUCAGGAGGAACACCGAUUGCGAAGGCAGCUCGCUGGAACGUUACUGACGCUGAGACGCGAAAGCGUGGGGAGCGAACAGG